GUAACGGCGAGUGAACAGGCAAGAGCUCAGAUUUGAAAGGCACUUUUGUGCCGUUGUAUUCUGAAGUUAGGGUCCUGAGAAACGAUGCUUAAGUCUUCUGGAAAGGAGCGCCAUGGAGGGUGAUAGCCCCGUCUAGCAUUGACCUCAUAUAGGAUCUUAACAUGGAGUCGAGUUGUUUGGGAAUGCAGCUCAAAUGGGUGGUAUGCUCCAUCUAAAGCUAAAUAUCUGCGAGAGACCGAUAGUAAACAAGUACUGUGAGGGAAAGAUGAAAAGAACUUUGAAAAGAGAGUGAAAAAGUACGUGAAAUUGUUGAAAUGGAAGGGUAGGCCGCUAACCAUGUAGAGCCGUGUUUGGGGGGAAGAUAAAUGCUGUAGAAUGUAGCUCCUCGGAGUAUUAUAGAUGCAGUUCAUAUUCCCACCCGAGCGCGAGGAUCUCAGGUUCUACUAAAUGGUGGUCUACCACCCGUCUUGAACCACGGACAAAGA
This 485-nucleotide ribosomal RNA is filed under the name Starmerella bacillaris. RNAcentral describes it as "eukaryotic LSU rRNA". It matches the Rfam family "Eukaryotic large subunit ribosomal RNA", at positions 83 to 671 of the family's 3401-position model. The record is from RNAcentral. Lineage: Eukaryota; Fungi; Ascomycota; Dipodascomycetes; Dipodascales; Trichomonascaceae.